Zonotrichia leucophrys gambelii is the source of this 1166-nucleotide long non-coding RNA. RefSeq lists it as uncharacterized. NCBI's taxonomy places the organism in Eukaryota, Metazoa, Chordata, Aves, Passeriformes, Passerellidae. The record is from RefSeq and is a predicted model, not a curated record. The transcript has 4 exons.
GGAGUUAGCUGGCUGCUGUGAGGACAAGGAAGAGUUGGUGCCUAGAGGAGGUGCCUACAAGAAACAUCAAGGAGGUGUGAAACUCUGGGAGACAGCAAAGCAGUUGUCAGCUCUUCUUCCCAUGCAGGGAUCAGGUCUGAGGAGAGACAAGAGAACAGGUUUUCAUGCAGAACAUGCUAUGACACUGGUUUAUAAACUCACACCAUGUGCCUGAUUCUGAAAUGAAAACUGUCUGGGGGCUGACCCCUUGUCCAAAUCAAAGAUUUCAAGAUGCAUUGUAUGGCUCCAAGAAGAGAGAGCAACACUCCUCCUUGUGUUACACCUCAGACUUUCCAUUAAAAGGGAUGAAUGUAAUUACAAAUUCCUGCAGGUCAAGAAAAUUGAAUCCUGGUCUUCCACCUCACAGCUGGAUUACAAAAAAAACCCUGCCUUUAGUGAUUUGAAUAUCUUAAAUAUUAUAUAAAUAUCACAUGCUAAGUCUAAAACACUGCACCUUCUUAAUGCUCUGACUUCAGCAGAAUUUCAGUAAUUCAGCUGCCUCUGGGGCCCCCUUUAUCUGAAUAUGCGGCAAACACAUAAAAGUCACCCCUCAAAUGUGAUGGAGAACAAUCAACCCUUAUGGUGCUUUUCCUCAAACUGCAUCAAAGUGGUAACCAAAACUGAGUUGCAAAUAGAUUUUAUGUAUUUAUAAGGUACAGUGGAAAAGAUUUAGGAAGAGGAUAUUUAUAAUAGAGCUUUUUCACAAAAUAACUCUGUGCAGGACAAUAUAAUAUUACAGAGCAUAUCAGACCUUUACAUUAAGAAUGUAAUCUAUUUUUAUAAUGGAACUAUAAGAGUUUCUGCUGAUGUUUUGAAGACUGAAAUGUGUUUUUCUCCUCCCUGAGCUGAUUAUUUUUUCUCAAUUUGGCAUCUUAUUUGUACCGUUUCUUCUUAUACAAUUUUAUUGUGACAUCUGGCUGUAAAAUAAAAAAUGUAGCCUACAGGAAAACUUAGAAUUGUGCUCCCCACAGUGCAUCAGUCAGACAAUAAAAUAGCCAUCACUAGAAAAGUGUGUUUACAAAAGCUACUCUUUGUAAAUAGAAAGGAUUUUUUUCUGGCUUUACAUCUGAGUGAAUACAGAGGGACAUUUCAGGUGGGGUAAGCUGGGCUCGGGAUUGCUCCACCAA